UACGAAGGGGGCUAGCGUUGUUCGGAAUCACUGGGCGUAAGGGGCGCGUAGGCGGCCUGAUAAGUCGGGGGUGAAAGCCUGUGGCUCAACCACAGAAUUGCCUUCGAUACUGUCGGGCUUGAGACCGGAAGAGGUAAGUGGAACUGCGAGUGUAGAGGUGAAAUUCGUAGAUAUUCGCAAGAACACCAGUGGCGAAGGCGGCUUACUGGUCCGGUUCUGACGCUGAGAUGCGAAAGCGUGGGGAGCGAACAGG
This 253-nucleotide unclassified non-coding RNA is filed under the name uncultured Alphaproteobacteria bacterium. RNAcentral's name for it is "contains 16S-23S intergenic spacer region". It matches the Rfam family "Bacterial small subunit ribosomal RNA", at positions 524 to 776 of the family's 1533-position model. Lineage: Bacteria; Pseudomonadati; Pseudomonadota; Alphaproteobacteria. The record is from RNAcentral.